Molecule: ribosomal RNA, 256 nt
Filed under: uncultured prokaryote
Description: partial 16S ribosomal RNA
Rfam family: Bacterial small subunit ribosomal RNA
Source: RNAcentral
GACGGGAGGGGCGAGCGUUAUCCAGAAUUACUGGGCGUAAAGAGCAUUAAGGCGGUUUAUGAAGUUAAAUGUGAAAAAAUAAGUCCCAAGCUUAUAAACACAUUUAAAACCAGUAAACUGAUGAGUUCGGUAGAAGUUGGCGGAAUUCUUAAGAGGAGUAGUAAAAUGCGACGAUAAUAAGAGGAACACCAAUGGCGAUGGCAGCUUUCUAUGCCGGUACUGACGCUGUAGUGCGAAAGUGCGGGGAGCAAACGGG